GUCUAAAAACUAACAAGCUUGGAUCUAGGUCUGACAAAUAUUUAUUUGUAGGGUACCCAAAGAGACUAAGGGGUAUUACUUCUAUCUUGCUGAUGAAUAGAAGGUGUUCAUUAGCAAUAGGACAGUCUUUUUAGAAAAGGAGUUCUUUGGGGAAGAAACUAAUACCUCAAAGAUCGAACUUGAUGAUGUUCGAUCGGUAGAGGAACUGACAUACUCUAAUAAAUUCAUUGAGUUGGACUUAAUUAGAUCAAAUCUAAAAUCUAUUGUAGAAAUAUCUUUAAGG
This 283-nucleotide long non-coding RNA is filed under the name Elaeis guineensis (African oil palm). Its description in RNAcentral is "long non-coding RNA (EGUI_LNC052684)". Lineage: Eukaryota; Viridiplantae; Streptophyta; Magnoliopsida; Arecales; Arecaceae. The record is from RNAcentral.